GAGACUUGUUGUUUGAAGGCUGAAAGUGUUUCUGAAGUCUGUCAGGGGAUACAUGAUGAAGAACUGCUGAAAAAGGUUCUAAGCCUUAGAGAUUAUAAAGCUCCCAUUUUACAUGCUGUUUUGCAUUCAUUCUUCCCCAAAACUCCUCCCUGCUGCUUUAUCAGCUUUAUCCACAGUGCUGUCCAGCACUGGACAGAGUUCCCUGUGGAGAUGGCCUCCCCAGCUCAGCUCCUCUGCUUUCUCUUGCUCUGGCUCCCAGGUUCACAAGGGGAAAUUAUUUUGACACAGUCUCCUAACUCCCUGCCUGUGUCUCUGGGAGAGAGAGUCACCAUCAAGUGCAAGGCCAGUCAGAGCCUGUUACACAGUAAUGGGUACACUUAUCUAUAUUGGUUCCAACAGAAACAAAGAGAACCUCUUAAAGCACUGAUAUACAGAGUUUCCAAUCUGCACUCUGGGAUUCCCUCUCGAUUCAGUGGCAGUGGGUCUGGGACAGAUUUCACCUUCACAAUCAGCAAUCUGGAGUCUGAGGAUGUUGCAGAGUACUUCUGUGGGCAAGCUAUUAGCUUUCCUUACACACAGUGUUCCAGCCCCUAA
Molecule: non-coding RNA, 594 nt
Organism: Monodelphis domestica (gray short-tailed opossum)
Lineage: Eukaryota; Metazoa; Chordata; Mammalia; Didelphimorphia; Didelphidae
Source: the annotation of a RefSeq genome assembly